This 1814-nucleotide long non-coding RNA is filed under the name Musa acuminata (dwarf banana). RNAcentral describes it as "long non-coding RNA (MACU_LNC005028)". Lineage: Eukaryota; Viridiplantae; Streptophyta; Magnoliopsida; Zingiberales; Musaceae. The record is from RNAcentral.
CUGCCUUCCUCAACUCUCAAGAACGGCUUCCGCCGUUUCUGUUAUCUCCGUCGAUCUCAAGAAGGGGAAGUGGUUGAGGCGGAGACCACCACGGGAGCCGUUCCCUUCCGGCUCCAAUUGGAUAAGCCCAUCCCCGUCAAGGUCGAUCCAUCGUAACCCUAACACUUUCUUGAUCUCUUGACUCUUCUUGAUCUGUGAUGUGUCUGCUUCUUUGGCGUAGAUCAGAAUGGGAUCCCGAGAAGAUAUGCUCGCCGCGGUCACCGAGGACUCCAUGAUCGUAACCCUUGCAUAGAUCAAGAUCGGAGCUCACAGAGGACUCCAAGAUCGUCUUGCCUCAUUUCAAGUGGCAGAGGCUUUGGAUUAUCCUCCUCCCCACGGUAAAUUCUUUUGAUCCCGAUACUUCUAUUUCCUGGGGUCGAAAUCUUAGUGUCAUUUGUGGUCUGCGUUUUGCACCUGCUAAAAGAUUUAUGUGGAGUUCAAUCUUUUCUCUGUUUCUUGAUUCUAGUUUUCUCCACUAACUUUCCGUGCUAUGGGAUAAACCACUUAGAAGGAAAUGCGAUUGAUACAUCAGCAUUGAGGUGACGAGGCGUAUUGACAUAGAUAGAUCUGGUUACAUGCAAGAGGAAGAAAAGAGAUCCCGGACUUGUUGGUUUGGUGUUUGAUGGUAAAGACUCAUGAAAUGCAAGUAAAGGAAUGCUAAAGAGGAAACUGGACAUUCUUGGCUACAUAUAUGCCAAUGGCUUUUAGUUGUGAAACCGACAAAUGGUUGUGUCUUUCUUCUUGGUGAUCACCUAAAACAUCCUGAUAUCUAGCCACUUUGAUUACACUAUAGCGGUUUUAAGCAUGGUUUUAGAUAUUGAUCAAGUGCUGGUCUCGACACAUUAUUACACCGGUUGAUGUACUAAUUAAUAGAUGACAAGUUUUAUAAGAAAAAAUAUAAAACAAAAAAUAGAAAACAAAGACUGACUUAUAUUUGAGACCAUGUUUUAAAUGCCAUAUAUUAAGUUAUGAUGGUUUUUUUCAGAUAUCUAUUCUUACAAUUAGUAUCUCUAACAUGCAUCCUCUCUAUGAGACUUUAAAAAUGUCCAGGACUGGAAAGGGCUUCAUGUGUUUACUUUUGCAUGGAAUUUAUAAGAAAAUAAUUAAGUGUAUGAUUAUUCUAUUAUGAAGAAUUUGAAGUUAAUGAGCUCCAGUUUUUGCUAUUGUUUUUAUUGUGGAUGUAAGCUGUGGCCAUCCUCCAACGUUUAUUUUACUGUAACACAUUAUAUAUAUUCAACUGAAAUUACCGGUUCGCUCGAGCGUAUAAGAUUAAGUUGUUCGGGUCGAACUCUGAGCCUCUAACUCAUCCUCUAAAUUGAUUUGUCUUUUUUUUGUGCAUUGAAUUUCAUUCAGCAAGCCAGUGUUAGAAGCAAAAUCGGAGACCUAAUUUAUAAACUUUUGUAGAACAAACUUCUCUCAACCAGAUGAGGUCUGUUGGCUGUGCACUUAGGAAAUUGUUAAUGUCUCAGUUUCACUGAUUUUAAUUUUUUUCUAAAAUUAUAAAAAUGAUUGUUCUAAGUUGCAAUUAUUGGAUGUCGAUGUCCUUGGCCGACAAUUUCAAUUUUAGGUUUCAGUGAUGAUAAUAUCUACUUUUUGCAACAUUUGAUGUUUACCCAUAGUUAAUAUUGGUGGAUGAAACAAGUUGAUGUUUGGAAACCUGGGCUUGAAAUUUAAUUAAAAUGCAUGCACCACUGAGACCGGAUGCAUAAAAAAAAAGAAAAGAUUUCCAUGGUUUAAAUAAUGUGUACACCUGCAAUGUUUUGAGUUUGUGGAAA